CGUACACUCCUGCGGGAGGCAGCAGUGGGGAAUUUUGGACAAUGGGCGAAAGCCUGAUCCAGCCAUGCCGCGUGCAGGAUGAAGGCCUUCGGGUUGUAAACUGCUUUUGUACGGAACGAAACGGCCUUUUCUAAUAAAGAGGGCUAAUGACGGUACCGUAAGAAUAAGCACCGGCUAACUACGUGCCAGCAGCCGCGGUAAUACGUAGGGUGCAAGCGUUAAUCGGAAUUACUGGGCGUAAAGCGUGCGCAGGCGGUUAUGUAAGACAGUUGUGAAAUCCCCGGGCUCAACCUGGGAACUGCAUCUGUGACUGCAUAGCUAGAGUACGGUAGAGGGGGGUGGAAUUCCGCGUGUAGCAGUGAAAUGCGUAGAUAUGCGGAGGAACACCGAUGGCGAAGGCAAUCCCCUGGACCUGUACUGACGCUCAUGCACGAAAGCGUGGGGAGCAAACAGGAUUAGAUACCCCAGUAGUCCC
This 475-nucleotide ribosomal RNA is filed under the name uncultured organism. RNAcentral's name for it is "partial 16S ribosomal RNA". It matches the Rfam family "Bacterial small subunit ribosomal RNA", at positions 330 to 797 of the family's 1533-position model. The record is from RNAcentral.